GAUGAACGCUGGCGGCGUGCUUAACACAUGCAAGUCGAACGAAACACCUUAUUUGAUUUUCUUCGGAACUGAAGAUUUGGUGAUUGAGUGGCGGACGGGUGAGUAACGCGUGGGUAACCUGCCCUGUACAGGGGGAUAACAGUCAGAAAUGACUGCUAAUACCGCAUAAGACCACAGCACCGCAUGGUGCAGGGGUAAAAACUCCGGUGGUACAGGAUUGACCCGCGUCUGAUUAGCUGGUUGGUGAGGUAACGGCUCACCAAGGCGACGAUCAGUAGCCGGCUUGAGAGAGUGAACGGCCACAUUGGGACUGAGACACGGCCCAAACUCCUACGGGAGGCAGCAGUGGGGAAUAUUGCACAAUGGGGGAAACCCUGAUGCAGCGACGCCGCGUGAGUGAAGAAGUAUUUCGGUAUGUAAAGCUCUAUCAGCAGGGAAGAAAAUGACGGUACCUGACUAAGAAGCCCCGGCUAACUACGUG
Molecule: ribosomal RNA, 481 nt
Filed under: uncultured bacterium
Lineage: Bacteria
Description: partial 16S ribosomal RNA
Rfam family: Bacterial small subunit ribosomal RNA
Source: RNAcentral